AGAGUUUGAUCCUGGCUCAGGACGAACGCUGGCGGCGUGCUUAACACAUGCAAGUCGUGGGAGCCUCGCAAGAGGCGACCGGCGAACGGGUGCGUAACACGUGAGCGACCUACCGAUUCGUGGGGGAUAGCCGGCCCAACGGCCGGGUAAUACCGCAUACGCCAAACAAGCUGCAUGGUUUGUUUGGGAAACCUCCGGGG
This 200-nucleotide ribosomal RNA is filed under the name uncultured bacterium. Its description in RNAcentral is "partial 16S ribosomal RNA". It matches the Rfam family "Bacterial small subunit ribosomal RNA", at positions 8 to 217 of the family's 1533-position model. The record is from RNAcentral.